This 253-nucleotide ribosomal RNA is filed under the name uncultured bacterium. RNAcentral describes it as "partial 16S ribosomal RNA". It matches the Rfam family "Bacterial small subunit ribosomal RNA", at positions 524 to 776 of the family's 1533-position model. The record is from RNAcentral.
UACGGAGGGUGCAAGCGUUGUCCGGAAUCACUGGGCGUAAAGCGCGCGCAGGCGGUGCGGUAAGUCUCUGGUGAAAGCGCUCGGCUUAACUGGGCGAGGGCCGGGGAGACUGCCACGCUGGAGGGGAGCAGAGGCGAGUGGAAUUCCCGGUGUAGCAGUGAAAUGCGUAGAGAUCGGGAGGAACACCAGUGGCGAAGGCGGCCUUCUGGACCAGUACUGACGCUCAUGCACGAAAGCGUGGGGAGCAAACAGG